Molecule: small nucleolar RNA, 85 nt
Filed under: Echinops telfairi (small Madagascar hedgehog)
Lineage: Eukaryota; Metazoa; Chordata; Mammalia; Afrosoricida; Tenrecidae
Description: Small nucleolar RNA SNORA31 (ENSETEG00000025763.1)
Rfam family: Small nucleolar RNA SNORA31
About the family: ACA31 (SNORA31) belongs to the H/ACA class of snoRNAs which are thought to guide the sites of modification of uridines to pseudouridines. ACA31 is predicted to guide the pseudouridylation of U3713 in 28S rRNA and U218 in 18S rRNA.
Source: RNAcentral
UUGCACUAGGAUGCGAGAGAAUACAAAUCCCUGCCUUUUCUGUCUGUCUUCGUGGCGAGUCCAGAUUCAGUGAGGGAUUACAUAG